GGGGGAAUAUUGCACAAUGGAGGGAACUCUGAUGCAGCGACGCCGCGUGAACGAAGAAGGCUUUCGAGUCGUAAAGUUCUUUUAUAUGGGAAGAUAAUGACGGUACCAUAAGAAAAAGCCCCGGCUAACUACGUGCCAGCAGCCGCGGUAAUACGUAGGGGGCUAGCGUUGUCCGGAAUCACUGGGCGUAAAGGGUUCGCAGGCGGAAAUGCAAGUCAGGUGUAAAAGGCAGUAGCUUAACUACUGUAAGCAUUUGAAACUGCAUAUCUUGAGAAGAGUAGAGGUCAGUGGAAUUUUUAGUGUAGCGGUGAAAUGCGUAGAUAUUAAAAAGAAUACCGGUGGCGAAGGCGACUUACUGGGCUCAUUCUGACGCUGAGGAACGAAAGCGUGGGUAGCAAACAGG
Molecule: ribosomal RNA, 403 nt
Filed under: Fusobacteriota bacterium
Lineage: Bacteria; Fusobacteriati; Fusobacteriota
Description: Fusobacteria bacterium partial 16S ribosomal RNA
Rfam family: Bacterial small subunit ribosomal RNA
Source: RNAcentral